RNAcentral lists this ribosomal RNA (256 nucleotides) under uncultured bacterium. Its description in RNAcentral is "partial 16S ribosomal RNA". It matches the Rfam family "Bacterial small subunit ribosomal RNA", at positions 524 to 776 of the family's 1533-position model. The record is from RNAcentral.
UACGAAGGGGGGCUAGCGUUGCUCGGAAUCACUGGGCGUAAAGGGUGCGUAGGCGGGUCUUUUAAGUCAGGGGUGAAAUCCUGGAGCUCAACUCCAGAACUGCCUUUGAUACUGAGGAUCUUGAGUUCGGGAGAGGUGAGUGGAACUGCGAGUGUAGAGGUGAAAUUUCGUAGAUAUUCGCAAGAACACCAGUGGCGAAGGCGGCUCACUGGCCCGAUACUGACGCUGAGGCACGAAAGCGUGGGGAGCAAACAGG